This 512-nucleotide ribosomal RNA is filed under the name Oreina speciosa. Its description in RNAcentral is "partial 16S ribosomal RNA". It matches the Rfam family "Bacterial large subunit ribosomal RNA", at positions 1830 to 2604 of the family's 2925-position model. The record is from RNAcentral. Lineage: Eukaryota; Metazoa; Arthropoda; Insecta; Coleoptera; Chrysomelidae.
UCCUUUUGUAUAUAAUUUAAGGUCUAGCCUGCCCACUGAAAUUUUAAAUGGCCGUGGUAUUUUGACCGUGCUAAGGUAGCAUAAUCAUUAGUUUUUUAAUUAAAAACUGGAAUGAAAGGUUGGAUGAGAGAAUAGCUGUCUCUAUUAAAUUUAAUUAGAAUUUUAUUUUUAAGUUAAAAAGCUUAAUUAUUAUUAAAAGACGAGAAGACCCUAUAGAGUUUAAUUAUUUAGUAAAAAUUAUAUUUUAGUAUUAAUUUAUUUAUUUUAUUAAAUAAUUUAAUUGGGGUGAUUGAAAAAUUUAAUUAACUUUUUUUAUUUAAGAACAUUAAUUUAUGAAUAAAUGAUCCAAUAUUUUUGAUUAUAAGAUAAAAUUACCUUAGGGAUAACAGCGUAAUUUUUUUAGAAAGUUCAUAUUAAAAAAAAAGAUUGCGACCUCGAUGUUGGAUUAAAAUAAAUUUUUGGUGUAGAAGCUAAAAUAUUAGGUCUGUUCGACCUUUAAAAUUUUACAUGAU